UCUACGGGUGGCAGCAGUGGGGAAUAUUGCACAAUGGGCGAAAGCCUGAUGCAGCAACGCCGCGUGAAGGAAGAAGGGUUUCGGCUCGUAAACUUCUAUCAACAGGGACGAAAGAAAUGACGGUACCUGAAUCAGAAGCCCCGGCUAACUACGUGCCAGCAGCCGCGGUAAUACGUAGGGGGCAAGCGUUAUCCGGAAUUACUGGGUGUAAAGGGUGAGUAGGCGGCAUGGUAAGCCAGAUGUGAAAGCCUUGGGCUUAACCCGAGGAUUGCAUUUGGAACUGCCGGGCUGGAGUGCAGGGGAGGUAAGCGGAAUUCCUAGUGUAGCGGUGAAAUGCGUAGAUAUUAGGAGGAACACCAGUGGCGAAGGCGGCUUACUGGACUGUAACUGACGUUGAGGCUCGAAAGCGUGGGGAGCAAACAGGAUUAGAUACCCGGGUAGUC
Molecule: ribosomal RNA, 443 nt
Filed under: uncultured bacterium
Lineage: Bacteria
Description: partial 16S ribosomal RNA
Rfam family: Bacterial small subunit ribosomal RNA
Source: RNAcentral